CCAGAGAGCCACGGACAAGGGGCUGAGCAGAGGGGGGUCCAAUGCCAGUUGCUUAAAAAUGCCCUUGUAGCAUCAAGAGGUGCCAGAGUCCAGUCAUCUUAGUUGCGAAGCAGUGACACCCACAACCAUACCCCAAAUAGGCUGGGCCUCCACCUCCGAAGAGUCAUCCCUGGGCCAGACACGAGCCAAGGCAAGAGUGAUGGUGGGUAGGAUUCCUCCUGCACUAGAGAACAAUGAGCCCCAGAGAGGACUCUUUCUGAGAAGCAGAGAAGUGACGGUGAUCUGCUCCCAGAACUGAGCUUCCCAACAGACAGAAGACAGAGAUUCCCCAGGCUGGAGACAUUUUCUCAAGACGUGGGAAUAGGAGAAAAGGCUGGCCAGCCUCUAGCCGCAGGCCUCCAAGCUGCAGAGAGCCGACGCCAACAGCACCAGGUAAGAUCCAGGGUCUGCCUGGUUCAGCCACCUUUUUAACAGAACGGAGAACCAAGACCCAGAGAUGAAAGGGCCCAGUGAGAAACAUCUCUGUCGGCUGGAGAUGGAGCUUAGAUCCCCAAGCCUCUCUCGUCUUUGCAACGGCACUGCAGGGCGAAGGGCUUUUCUUGGAGAAACUGAUGUAGGUAGGCUACAUAGCUCUUCUCAGUGAAGCCUCACUGGAGGGAGGGUCUGGACAAACUCUGCCCAACACGUGUACAUGUGCAUGUUCCUGGGGCCAAAGAGAGAAGGCACACCUUCCUGUCCCACUGCUCCUCCCCGCCAUCCCAGUCCCCACCCUACCCCUUCCAGGAGGCCUUUUGUGUUAGCUGGUGGGGUGGGGGGUGAGGGAAGGAGCCUCCCUGGCUAUAAGCUCUUGGCGGUCCUUUCCCAGGCUCUCCGGAGUUCUGCUGAGUCUGCCCCAUGUCCUCCUCAGGUGCUUUCCUUCCUCCUCAGCCUUCUGUGCCCUGCGAGGGCAAGGACAGUAUUAAGGACAUACUCUCUGAGCACACAGAGGUGGUGCUGGGUCUGCUGAAUGAGCCAGCACUGCUAUGAGACCCUGUCGCAAGCCCAGAGGACUAAGAAAUCGAGCAUGGAGGUUAAGGUGAGGGGCCAGGCUCGGCUGCUCUGAGUUAGGAAGCCCAGCAUGGUGCCUUGUAUCCCUACCCUGGGAAAAUUAUAUUUCUCUGGAGCCUUGGCAACCUUUGGGGAUAUGUGCAAUUAAACGUUCACCAAUUUAAUUAGUCUAGAAUCAUAGGGACAGCACUAGACAGUCUUUAUCCAAGGAUGAGACAAGGAAGAUGGGGCAAGGACCUUUCUUGGCUGAACAUCUACCUGUUAGGACUGUCUGGCCGUUUACUUCUCCUUAAGAAAGAUGGGCCACCUUCUGUCCAUUCCUGUGUCACACCAAGAUGUAAAAUCUUGGCUGUGCUCUCCUUUAUCCCAGGCUAGGAUAGAAGCAGCUCUUAGUUCUCCCUUGGUGAAUCUGUGUCUGCAAAUCUAGAAGCCCCAACCCCACAACCCCCAUUCCUGGUCCUCCAGCCAAGGUGAUCAGUUCCAGCCAUACAAGCUGUCUGAAAGGUAGUGCAGGCUCUAGCAUGCUGGCCCAAACCUAGGCAUCAGAUGUCCUCUUUUUCACCUAUGUCUGCAAAUGAAUUAUAAAGUAUAAGGUGCAUCUUUGUAUGUACUUAAGCAGGAAUACUUGUUAUUCAUGGAAAACUAACGCUAUCUAGAAUUUAAAACAAUUAUGUGAGAAUGCAGCAUUAGUACCGCACUGUCCCCUGCUUCUAUGGCUUGUCAGGCAUUUGUGGCACAUGCCUGUAAUCUCAGAAUUCCAGAAGUAGAGGCAGGGGGAUCAGGAGUUCCACACGCUGGAUGUGUUUGAGGCUAGCCUGAUCUACACGUGUCUGUAUUUCUAAAAAGAAAGAUGGGGUUGGGGGGGCACGGUAGAGAAGAAGGCAAUAAGGGGAAGGGAGGACAGACAAAGUAGCAGGGGACAACUCAAAUGGUGUGGUCACCAGAUGACUCCCAGCAUUCAUCCACUCUUUCUGCUGUCCCCCACCCCCAGCCACAGCAAAGGCAGUAUAGACAGAAGUGGGCACAGAUGGACCCCCAGGGAAGGCUCUUAGCAACCCAGCUGUGCUGUGUCCACCCUUCCUAGCUACUUACUGAAAUGUCCCUUGGCCAGGUUUAGUGCUACCUCUCCCAGGGUCCAUGGGAGCUGCGGGGAAUGACAUGGAGAGAUCAAGAUGUUCUGACUCCAAUAGAGUCCUAUGUUCAGACCUCCUGGUUAAAGGACUGAGGAAAGUUUCUGAGGAUUCCAGACAGAAGGAAGUUGGUUAUUGGCUGGAGAUGCCCCCAAGCAGAAGUGCUCUGGCCUUAACAACAAAUCAGUAAGGCUUUUCCCAUUGCUCCUGCACCCCACCCCCAACUUGGGGUUGCUGCUAGAUUCCUGUUAAAAGGCCUGGGAGCUGCGGGUUUCUGAAAAUGGAGGUAGACUUUUGUGUGUGUGUGUGUGUGUGUGUGUGUGUGUGUGUUUUCUCUCCCAGCCCUGAGGAAAGGCUGCCUGUCCCCUUCAGCCAACCCUGAAAGUAUGUGUCAUCCAGCAUCGAGGAGGUCACCACAGCCACCGUGAAGCAAAGACCAUCUGGGGACCCUGGGAUCCUGGCAAAAGCAGGGUGAGUGGGUGGUUUGGGGUGGGCUCCAAAAAAGUAAGAGAUGCUUCCUCACAGGCAGUCAUUUGCCCAGAGUGCAUACUGAGACAGGUGGGGGACAAGAGCGGGAAUCACAAGAGCAGGCACAGACCUAAAUAUACAAGGCCCUGGGUUCCAUUCCCAGCAGUGCAUAAAAAAAAAAAAAAAAAAAAAAAAAAGUGCACACUUUAAAUGGAUGGGUCUAUCUCAAGAAAGCUAGCUUAAAAAGAAAAAGAAAAGAAAGGUGGACAGGACAUUUCCGUCCCAGAGGGCCUCAGGGCAAGGCAAGAACAAGAUGGGGGGGCAGGCACACUGCGCAUGCUCACACUCCUUCUCCUGCCCAGGAAGAAAGCCGCAGCCUGAGCGCUCUCGGAGCGCCUGUCUCCCAGCCUGAGGUGCAGUGCUGCAUCUCUGGUCAGUUGGGAGUCUGAGAUGAAGCACUGUAGCUCAGGAAGGGAGAAGUUGUUCUGCAGCCGUCACCGGGACGUGGUAAGUGUCAGUGAGGGGUAAGCAGGCUCCGUAGGUUGUCCUUAGACUCUGAAGCAGCUUGUGGCGAUGUUCCUGGGCUCAAGCUGUACCGGGCCCGAUCACUCUUGUGCCAUGUGUAACAGUAAGUGCUGGCCCAUUCAGUAGCGGCCAGCACCAACAUCCUGCCCCCCGCUUCCUCUUCCUGAGCCCAGAGAGGACACAGCUAACAAACGGAGGCAGCUACCCACUCUGGGAGGGUUCCAGCACACCCCAGAAACCUUUCAACGUUGCAUGCUGAAUAGGCACUGUAAAUGAUUCUGGACUGAAACCCAUUCAUCUCUGUAGGUCAGACAGUCCCUAACAACUCUUAGUCCAGGGAGGUAGCGGUCCAAGGUCCUGGCAGCCCAAUACACUGUAGAUGACACUGUCAUGUUGCAACGUCAAAACGUCACACAUCCCUGUUAGGCUUGGACUCACAAUCUUUGCUCUGAGCCUCUCACUUUGGCUCUGUGCUCUUGCCUAAACUGGUCCAGGCAUCGCACAAAUGUCUGCUUCAGAGAGGUGACGGGCACUGGAAUAUCGAUAUUUAACCUCCCAAGCUCAGUCAGAGGAAGGGCUAAGUCUCGGUUAACUGGCUGGCCUGAGGUCACCUAUGGGUAAUGCUGAGCUGGGGUUGUGUCUUCAUCUGUUUGCCUUCAACUCCACCUUCGUACCCACUGUUGAGUCUAUGGAACCUGGAGCCAGAGAGUAGGAACACAGAACAAAGCCCACUCUGGUCGUGUCCAUCAUUCGGCUCUAGUAACAGAGGCAGGACCACAUACUUCUAAGAAUCCCGUGGCCUCCCUCGCUUUCUUCAUCUUGACCCUUCACCCACCUAGUAGGUCCUGUUUGAUACCGCUUUACAAUUAAGGACAAGCAAGGCUCAGAAUUUAAGUGACCUACUGGGGGGACACAGGGAGAAAGUCGCUAGAGCCUUGGAACGGACUUCAUAGUCAUGGGCCAGAGUACGUGUGGUGACUGGGGCGUCAGGGGUGGGGGAGCUGGUCCCAGAUGCUUUCUUAUCAGUUCUGAUCUACACCAGCCGGCUGUCCUUUGAUCACAGGGAAGGUACUUUCCAAGCCACUCAAAGCUCUAGUCUCUCUUCUCAGAGCAAGAAGCUGCACCCUGGGAACUGGCUGCCAGAGCUAGGGCUGAAAGCAGAGAAAACUGCCUGUCCCUAGGGGCAUGGCGAGUGCUGAAGGCAUCUCUUUCCCACCUUGUCCUCACGGUCCAGUUUUCCCAGGAAUCCCUUGGAUGCUGAGAUGGGGAUUCCUGGAAAUACUGUUCUUGAGGUCAUGGCUUCACAGCUGAAUCUGCCUCCUUCCCAGCUUGGCAUUUCCUCCCCGGGAUGAGGGGGGAGAAGGCGGUGCACUGGAGGUAAGAGGCCUUGGGAGCUCUGACCUUUGCAUUGCUUUUCUUUCCACUGUGUCCAUAUUUCAUAACAGCCCCAGGAGGCUGGAUGUGGGAACCUCAGAACUGCCUCACUCUUGAGAAACUUUGUCUUCAAGCCGCAGUGGUUGAACCAGAACUCUGGGACAGCCUUUUCUCCACUCUGACCCUCCGAAUUCCUUCCCUGCAGGUCUUGCGGUGAGGAGGGGCCACAGGGCCAUAGCCACAUUAUUAAGAAAGUAACACACAAAUGUAUUUAAAAGUUUAUUAAAUCAGUUAGGUAAACUAACAACCAUUAAUCUGAGUUGGAUUUGGAGCACGGCCACAGGACAAUGAGCUUUCAAGGUGGACAAUACAAGAUUUGGAGCGCCCCCUGGUGGUGCAUCUGCCCACUGCAGGAACACUGUGCUCCCAUAUACACAGCCUGGCCUCCAUUCUGUUUCUGCAAACUUCUACCAAAAUGUUUUCUGUCCGAUCACUUUUGAGCCACUGACAUGCUUAAGCCUUAUUCACCUCUUGCCAGAGAUGCUUCUACGGCUUACAGUUGGCUUUUCCUUAGGCCUAAACCAGAGAAAGUUCACCUAGACAGCAAAAGGCAGAGCCAGGGUUGAUUUCAAAUUCAGUGGCCACUGGCAUUCAGUGUCUGAGCCAAAAAAAAUUUAAAUAAAUAAAUAAAUAAAUAAUGAAUAAAUAAAUAAAUAAAUACAUAAAUGAAUGAAUGAGUAAAUAAAUAAAUAAAUGCAGAGCUGGGUGCUCCUCCCUUAUGAUUUCCAGCCCCCCAACUCUUGGAAGUUAUUUCUUAUUUUUUUGUUUGCUGUGGAAAACACACACACACACACACACACACACACACACACACACACACACCUUUAAUCCCAGCAGAGCCAGAGGCAGGCAGAUCUCUAAAUUAGAGGCCAGUUUGGUCUACAGAGUGAGUUCUGGGAAAGCAAGAGCUACACAGAGAUGCAGUCUCAAAAACAAAAAAACAAUCUAUAGCCAGGACAUAGCUCAGCUGGUAGCGUGCUGGCCUGGAGUGUUUGAAUCCCUAGGUUCCAUGCCUAACAGCUGCACAGCUAAGGUGUGACGGUAGAUGUUGUAAUCCCAGCACAUGGCAGGUAAAGGCAGCAGGAACACAGGUAGGCAGUCAUUGUGGCUAAAUGAUGAGUUUGAGGCCAGCCUGGGCUUACAUGAGACCCUGUCUUAAGGGUAGGUGAAGCAAAAAGUACAAACAUUUAACUACAAUCAAAAUUAAAGACUGCCUCUCUGGUUACAUGUUGGGAUUCGGACUGGAUGAAAGUCAAAAUUGCUAAUGAAAUCCAGGCAUAAAACAGAACUUGGGCUGGGGAGAUGAGAGAGGGGGUUUAUCAGGAAAGGCACUUGCCACCAAAUCUGCAGACCUGACUUCAGUCUCCAGUAUCCACGUAGUGAAAGGAGAAACUGACUGCUGGAAAUUAUCCUCUGGCCUCCACAGACGUGGCCUGCUGUGUGCAGCAAACCUGUACACACACAAUAAAAAAAGAAAAAGAAAUAAACAUCAAGGGAAAGUUAGAACUCAGGCUCUGGUAAAGCGCUGAGUUUGGAUGCCCAGAGCCUGUGUCGAAAGCCAGGCGUGGUGGCACACUCAAGAUCCUAGUGCUGGUGGGGAGAAAGACAGGAGGCCCCCUGGGGUUCUACAGCCAGAGUUCAUGAGCUCCAGGGUUAGUGAGAGACAGUGUCCCCAAAUCAUAAGGUGGAAGGUGACAGAGGACACACUCAUGCACCCACCCCCACACACACUCACACACCUUAGAACUAGCCUUAAGCUGUCCCUAGUACAUUUUUGCUGAGCUGGUGGAGGUGGCAGUAGCCACAGCCCUCAUUUUGUUGUGCGGCCUCACAUCUCAAGAGACCAGGUAGUCCCAGGGGCACCACCAGCAUCCAGAGGACAUGUCUGAAGAGAGACUCCUUCCUUCCCAUACUCCGAGGCUGCUGCUGACCCCACUCUGAGAACAUCACACUUGAUGAUCAGUACCACCUUCCAUUCUCUGGCUGUUCAUACACUCAGCUCCAUCUUAGUCCUCAAACCAGCCCAAGGAAGUAGCAGACAAGGAGCCCAAGGCUGAAAGAGAUUAAGGCAGCUUAGGUCACACUCAGGAAUCGUUUUGACAGGAUUCAGCCAAAGCUUACAAUUCUCACCAUCCUAUGUGCCCCACACAUGGGGCCUGGCUGCCUCAGGCUGCACCUCCCCUCCCUGACGGCUUUCCCCCUAGGGAAGAAGAGCCUUCCUGUCUGUGUUAUGUGGCAGUAAUAAAGUGCUGGACCUUU
Long non-coding RNA from Meriones unguiculatus (Mongolian gerbil), 6863 nucleotides. RefSeq lists it as uncharacterized. The record is from RefSeq and is a predicted model, not a curated record. NCBI's taxonomy places the organism in Eukaryota, Metazoa, Chordata, Mammalia, Rodentia, Muridae. The transcript is spliced from 3 exons.